Molecule: ribosomal RNA, 531 nt
Filed under: uncultured bacterium
Lineage: Bacteria
Description: partial 16S ribosomal RNA
Rfam family: Bacterial small subunit ribosomal RNA
Source: RNAcentral
UAGGGAAUCUUCGGCAAUGGACGAAAGUCUGACCGAGCAACGCCGCGUGAGUGAAGAAGGUUUUCGGAUCGUAAAACUCUGUUGGUAGAGAAGAACGUUGGUGAGAGUGGAAAGCUCAUCAAGUGACGGUAACUACCCAGAAAGGGACGGCUAACUACGUGCCAGCAGCCGCGGUAAUACGUAGGUCCCGAGCGUUGUCCGGAUUUAUUGGGCGUAAAGCGAGCGCAGGUGGUUUAUUAAGUCUGGUGUAAAAGGCAGUGGCUCAACCAUUGUAUGCAUUGGAAACUGGUAGACUUGAGUGCAGGAGAGGAGAGUGGAAUUCCAUGUGUAGCGGUGAAAUGCGUAGAUAUAUGGAGGAACACCGGUGGCGAAAGCGGCUCUCUGGCCUGUAACUGACACUGAGGCUCGAAAAGCGUGGGGAGCAAAACAGGAUUAGAUACCCUGGUAGUCCACGCCGUAAAACGAUGAGUGCUAGAUGUAGGGAGCUAUAAGUUCUCUGUAUCGCAGCUAACGCAAAUAAAGCACUCCGCC